CUUCUCUCCGCGCUCGGCUGUGUUUGUUUUCCCCUCCCGGCUCCGCUUCCGUCCCUCAGGACUCCCCGCUCGGUCCCGGUGGCCGCUUCCCAGCUCCCUGCCCUGCUCCCCGAAACCAGGAAGGACGGGCAGGCGGAAAGUUCAGCUUAAGGAAAUAAAAGAGGAGCCCGGGUUCUUCCCCAAGUGUGACCGUGCCUGCCAGGAGGGUCUCGGCUCUCCCAGGCCGGCACAAACUCGCCUGUGUUUAUGGGGACGUGUAACUGUAUCGGCUCCGUUAGGAAUUGUUUCUCGGCGUUAGGAACUGGGCAGGUUCUGCGCUGCGCCUGGUAACGCUUAAUGGAUCAGAUCAUGGCAGGGAAAAUAGUUUCGACUUUGUACAGAGAAAGAGUUUCGGGAAGGGUGGACUUGGGAGGGUGUUUCUAGAGAACUGUGGGUGGAACAACUGAUAAAGACUUGUUUCCUCUGUUUCAUUUGGCACCUCUCUGAUUUAUCUGGGCUCUGCCUUUGUGUGCAUCAAUAUGUAGGUUUAUUAACAAAGAAGCGAGCGCUAAAUGCUGGUCUGCCACACAUUGUCAAAAAGUAACAUCAAACUAUGGGAAACUUCGGUAGGUUGUACUUGUGGCUAAGCCGUGAGGAAAAAAAGCAGGGUGGUUUGCAUGGUCAGAAGCCAUCCUGUUGUUUAUAUGGUUAGGAGUGGGAUGCACCAAAGAAUUUAGGUUUUUCUUCGUAAAUUCUUGUAAGGUACCGAGAUAUUUCAGACUUAAUUGUUGGCAUGCUUUCAAGGCGUCUUUGUUUUCUGAACUAAAUGGUGCUGGCACAGAACUAUCUCAAAAUAAUUAAUUAACCAGUUGUGAGGGUUGUUUUCACUGUUUAAUUCCAGGCAAGCAGUUGUGCCUUAAAAAUCGUAGUAAAAAUGUGAGGUGUAGUCCUCUAGAUGUAUAAAAGAAAGUUCAGGCAUUGUAUUUCAGAAAUUCCUGUUAAUUUUUUUUUUUUUGAGAGAAAAAUGGGCACCUUCAACAUUUCUAGGCACCAGGAAGCACACCUCACUAUCAGCUGGUAGAAGUGCAUGUCUUUGGUGUGUAGCAGUGCAGGCCGGCAUUAAUAUCUGUGUGGAAAGGGCAGGUUCAUGAUUCUUAAAGAAGUUACUGUGAGAGCAGUGCAAACUGGAAAGGACUGAAAAGAACCCAACAAUUUACAUUUCAUUUAUGUGCAGUGCAUCUGGUCUCAUUAAUCUUACACAGAUCUUGAAGCUAAGUUGCAUUUAUAUGUAAAGUUCUCUGGUUUUAACCCACACAGGUAUUAAAUAGUAAUAAUUUUGGAAAUUUCAUUAAUCAGCACUGUAAGGAUAAUUAGGGUUUUGUAUGUUUGGUGUAAGAUUGGAGUAUUUUUAUGGGAUACAUGAGUUUGAACUCUUUCAGAAUUAAACAAGGCCUUGUGUCUGUACUGUGCAGGCACUCCACAUAUUCUAUUGUAAUACUCUUUAGAUAUAAAGGUAUAGAUUAACAGAACCAACUGUAACGUUAGCUCACAGCUAAGUAUGAAUCAUAAAAUCAACUUCUGAAAAGUGGUGCAGCAUAAUUUGUAUGGUUUAUUUGAGCAGGUUUAGUAAAAUCUUUUAGUUUUCUUAAAAAAUUAUUUUCAGUUGUUGUUUAUAUUGUUCUUAAAAUUAUGUGAAGGAAAUGCAAUCAAAAGCAAUCAGUAGUGCUGCUGCACUGUGAAAUGUUCUUCAGAGUCUGUCGGGCUGCUUCACAGCUUUUGGUAGGUUAUGCCAGUGUGGUUAAAGCAGACACGUUAUCAGAAGUUUGGCCCAAUAGGCCCAGAAACAUUCUUCAUGAUGUUCUGGUAUUAGAUCACUUGUAGUGUUUUCUUCUGCUUCCUUUGCUUGCACUGCAUAAAUAUCACCUUCAUAAAACCAGUGGUCCAGCAGGUCAGUUAGAAUACUGUUCAAAUAGUAUAAGAAGGAAAAGUCACACCAUUUAUUUUGUUUUCUUUCUGUUAAUAAUUAGGGAAAGCUAAAAUUUCAUUUCUGGUAUAUGGUGUCUAUUUGAGAUAGGGUAUAUGUACCUUGACUUUUUAAGAAUUCUUUUUUUGGAAGUGAAUCUCAGCAUUUUCCCAACACUCCUGGCUUAAGGCAUCUCUUCACUCACUGGUGCUGUUAUGAAUUUUGAUGUGUGUGAAGUGGUGCUUAAGUUGGGUAAUAUGAUUGGCAGCUUUUUGCAGCAUGCUUUGUUGCAUGUGAUGAAGAUGCAUGCAGGUAUAUUAAUCAGUACUUAAUUAUCCAUACAUAAUGAUGUUCGUAGAGGAGUGGAAAUAACUAAUUUAACCUCUCCUUCUACCUAAGGGUCAUUAAAAAAAAAAGGGAAAGAGCAAUAGCAAACACAAAGGAGAACUGUUGAGGUUUCUGACAGGCUUGGAUUUAACAAGAGUGACCAUGCCUUGGCUAGGCUGGUGAAAUGCUGAAAAUCAUUGCAAAUCUGUGAUAAAUAGUUUCUUGUCACUGGUGCAACAUGCUCUUUUUAUGUUGCUAGGACUUCCAAGUUGUAUCUUAGUGUCUUGUGCUGCUGGAUAUUGAACUGCUCCCGGUGAGCAUAGGAGAAAUUCUGCUUUUUUUCUGGACACAUGGGGGAGUUGUGGGAAGGCAUUUAUGAGCUAUCAGCAUCUGAGUGAUUUAGUUGUGUUCUUAUUAUAAAUUGGGAAGAACAGUAGCCUUCAUAAAUAUGGCAGCAUUCAGCCUCCAGCAUUUAUUUGGAGUUUAAAAUAAAAACAUUAUGGCUGAGACAGUGCCUAGUCAAGACAGCUGUCAGAUGGUUGUUUCAGAAAUGCCUAUGGUAAUUAAAAAUAAAUAAAAUCAGGUGUUUAGGUUAUUGCUUUGAAAUACUGUUGCCCAAAAGCCUCAGACUGCAGUUUGUUUAUACUUCUAAAAGAUCCAAAGUUUUGGUUUUGCAGUAUGGCAGAGCUGCUGUGCUGAGUUCUGCUGUCUGGUGGUCCUGCCCUGGCCAUGCACUCCCACCUCUCCUCCUGGCGUGAGAAGUCAAUCCA
Passer domesticus (house sparrow) is the source of this 3039-nucleotide long non-coding RNA. RefSeq lists it as uncharacterized. The record is from RefSeq and is a predicted model, not a curated record. NCBI's taxonomy places the organism in Eukaryota, Metazoa, Chordata, Aves, Passeriformes, Passeridae. The transcript is spliced from 2 exons.